This 608-nucleotide unclassified non-coding RNA is filed under the name Hevea brasiliensis (rubber tree). The record is from RNAcentral. Lineage: Eukaryota; Viridiplantae; Streptophyta; Magnoliopsida; Malpighiales; Euphorbiaceae.
GAAAAUGAGGGGUCAAUUGACCCCACUUUUUCUUUAAAAUUCUUUUGUAUAUAUGUGUACUUCUAUGUAUUGAGCCCAAAGCGUCCGGGGAGAAUUCUUGAUCUGUCUUAUGAAAGAACACACUUAUAAGCUUGACACCAUAUCCAACCCAAAACCUUAAGAUAAUGGGUUUAUAGCUUCUUCCCACUUAUAUGUCUUUCACUCAUCCCAUCUUUUUCCAAUGUGAGAAUUUCACGCUUGUAUAUUUCUAAUAAUCCCCCCUCAAGUUUAAAUCUCUUCUACAUUGGAUUUUUUGGGCUUGCUCCCCCUCAAAUGGAAGUCUUCUUAACUUAAGUAUUACGGUGUUACCAAGAGUCCUAAUUACUCCACCAAACUCAUUCGAGCAUGCGCCUCUAAGAGUUAUGCCAGAGCCAUCACGCGUUUUGCCAUCACAUGUACCGAGAGUCUCCUCUCUAUCGAUCUGCUCUUUUCUAGAAGAGUGCUUUCCUGCUCCACUGGGUCUAUCAAGAGUCUCUUGACUCUUCCCAUCCACGUGUCAGAGCACUACGAGAAUCAUCGACCACCGUUUUCAUAUUCGUUCUUGCCGAACUAUCGACUUUGAUACCAUG